AUGUGUGUACACACUGCAGGGUCUCUAUCUCUCACACACACUGACAUGUGUUUGCUGUGUGUAGCUCUGAGGAAGUUGCAGACCAUUAGGAGAGAUCUUAAGGAGGGCAGCCUUAAGACCAGCAUUACACCUGGAGACAAACUGGUUCCUUUCUCAGAAGGGUCAAAGAUUACCAAAGAUGUUACCAUGACUACCGUUGCCGAGGCUGUUCUUAUGGAGCCCAAGUCAAGCCCAGAGAAGACCUAUGUCACACCUACAGCUGUUGAGACUGUAGCUACAGCAAGUACUGCUCCAGUUGUUACCACAGCUACUAGCCAGAGAGGGACCUGUCGACUGCACUGUCAGGACUGCAACGUGGUAUGUGAGUUUGUGUCGCAGUACAAGUUACAUGUGCGUCACUGGAAACACAAGAAGAUGCUAGGAGAUAUCUUUGGACCAGGGGACGAGGACAGUAAAGCCUGCAUCCCAUCCUUUACCUUGUAUGAGUACUUCCGGAACCCAGAAAGAACCGAACCAAUUAUUGGUGUCUGUCUGUUGGUGAUGUGUGUGAGUACUGAGUGUUGGAAAACGCCCUUCUACCUGUGUCACACCUGUCAGGAGAUAAUCCCCGCCCAUCUCGUCAUGACUCACCUCACCUCCACACUCCACCUUCGACGCACUCUGAUGUACCAGAGUCCGCAGUGUCUGCCAUUCGGGUGGGGGACAGAGAUGGGCCUGGAGGUCCUGAAGACUCUGGCCUGGGAGGAGGAGAGAGUCCGAGGAGAGAGAGACAAUGUUCUGAAGGUGUUUGAUAUUCCUGCCAGUGUUUUCCACAGCAUUAAGAUGUCCUCCUACUCCUCUGCCAUGAAGAGACUCAAGAACUUCCAUCGUUAUCUAAAAGGUUAGUAGAUGUUCAUCGUAAAGUUUCUCUGGUGUCAUAAGCAGAGCAUUCAGGGCUCUUAAGAUUUUGUCUCUGUCUGUGUUAUCCUGUAGUUGACAGGCCGCUGACGUUUUCCGCCCAUCUGAAAAACAAAGACCGGAGGAUUCCUAUGCUGGGUGAGUGCAGACCAAAUGAAAACAGAAUCUGAAGGGUUUAAACUAAGUAAAAACAUGGUAAAAUGGAGGUGGAAGCAGACACAGAAAGCAGGCAUACAGAAAUUAGACAAAGUGGAC
This 1152-nucleotide long non-coding RNA is filed under the name Salmo trutta (river trout). RNAcentral's name for it is "lncRNA (ENSSTUG00000036231.1)". Lineage: Eukaryota; Metazoa; Chordata; Actinopteri; Salmoniformes; Salmonidae. The record is from RNAcentral.